AUUGAACGCUGGCGGCAGGCCUAACACAUGCAAGUCGAACGAGUGGCGGACGGGUGAGUAAUGUCUGGGAAACUGCCUGAUGGAGGGGGAUAACUACUGGAAACGGUAGCUAAUACCGCAUACCAUCGGAUGUGCCCAGAUGGGAUUAGCUAGUAGGUGGGGUAACGGCUCACCUAGGCGACGAGCCCUAGCUGGUCUGGGAGGAGGACCAGCAACACUGGAACUGAGACACGGGCCAGACCCCUACGGGAGGCAGCAGUGGGGAAUAUUGCACAAUGGGCGCAAGCCUGAUGCAGCCAUGCCGCUUGUGUGAAGAAGGCCUUCGGGUUGUAAAGCACUUUCAGCGGGGAGGCGUUACCCGCAGAAGAAGCACCGGCUAACUCCGUGCCAGCCGCCGCGGUAAUUC
Molecule: ribosomal RNA, 406 nt
Filed under: uncultured bacterium
Lineage: Bacteria
Description: partial 16S ribosomal RNA
Rfam family: Bacterial small subunit ribosomal RNA
Source: RNAcentral